UCUAACCGAAUCGUUCAGGUUUAUCCCGAAAGGAUCUGAUAAUUCUGGGUUAAGUUGCAUUAAGUUGGAGUGUGGAUUCGUAAAUAAUACUUAAGUCGCCCCAACGGAGCUCAUGAAUUAUUUCUUACGAAUCUACACCUCCUUGUACAUAAUUCUUGAACAAUGUUGGUCACCUUGCGCAGAUGUGCUAUAUACAAGACCUAAGUAUUGUAACACCCGUUUUGAUGAUGUGCAGUAUAACAGCCCAGUCUGACCUGUCUUUUUGCACAAGCUAUGAAUAGGACUAUGGACUUAAACCUUCAGGACUGAUAUCCAACGUCAGAAUAGUACGCCUUCUGUUCAUUCAAGAAUCCUAAACUUCAGAACAAAUGCCCCAUGACAG
Molecule: long non-coding RNA, 382 nt
Organism: Gigantopelta aegis
Lineage: Eukaryota; Metazoa; Mollusca; Gastropoda; Neomphalida; Peltospiridae
Exons: 3
Source: RefSeq, a predicted model, not a curated record